This 447-nucleotide ribosomal RNA is filed under the name uncultured bacterium. RNAcentral's name for it is "bacterial SSU rRNA". It matches the Rfam family "Bacterial small subunit ribosomal RNA", at positions 15 to 507 of the family's 1533-position model. The record is from RNAcentral.
GAUCAUGGCUACAGAACGAACGCUGGCGGCAUGCCUAACACAUGCAAGUCGAACGAGACCUUCGGGUCUAGUGGCGCACGGGUGCGUAACACGUGGGAAUUUGCCUCGGGGUAUGGAAUAACUCAGGGAAACUUGAGCUAAUACCAUAUAAUGUCUUCGGACCAAAGAUUUAUCGCCCUGAGAUAAGCCCGCGUAGGAUUAGCUAGUUGGUGAGGUAAAGGCUCACCAAGGCGACGAUCCUUAGCUGGUCUGAGAGGAUGAUCAGCCACACUGGGACUGAGACACGGCCCAGACUCCUACGGGAGGCAGCAGUGGGGAAUAUUGGACAAUGGGCGAAAGCCUGAUCCAGCAAUGCCGCGUGAGUGAUGAAGGCCUUAGGGUUGUAAAGCUCUUUUACCCGAGAUGAUAAUGACAGUAUCGGGAGAAUAAGCUCCGGCUAACUCCGUG